GGAUGGAUCAUUAUCACGUAUCUCACGUAUAAACCAUUGUGAACUGUAUUUUACCUUCUGAUAUGACUAAAAGUGGAGGAGUUUUUUGAUUUGAGGAGAAGCAAUUUUUCUUUAAAAAAAAUAACUCUUUUGUCUUAUCAGAUUGUAAUUUCACUUUUAAACAUUAACAAUUUAAACCUAAACUAAUUAAAUUAUUGAACUGAUCUAUUUCUUACUCUUUUAAUCGGGAGAAGAAAUUUCAUUACGAAACAUAAGAACAACUCUUAGCAACGGAUAUCUUGGUUCUCGUAACGAUGAAGAACGCAGCGAAAUGCGAUACGUAAUGCGAAUUGCAGAAUUCAGUGAAUCAUCAAAUCUUUGAACGCAAAUUGCGCCUUCUGGAUAGGCCAGAGGGCAUGCCUCUUUGAGCAUCGUUUCUACCCUCUCUCGACUGCUUUCCUUGCGAUUGCAUUGUCGGGGAUAAUGAGAUGUCGCAUUCGAUAAUGAAUGAGUCUCUUUAAGAAGCGUGAGUUUCCUAAACUCCUAGUGUAAGACUUUCGGGUCGCCUAUUGUUAGGUUAUUUUUCACUAGUGACAUGGAUAAAAUUUUAUUUUAUGUCACUAGAGAUGAUGCAAUAACAGUAGGUCAAACAUAAGGUAAAUUGGAACUCGGUUUGAAAAUUAUAUUUUUUGAAUUAGAUCUCAAAUGAAGCAAGACUACCCGCUGAACUUAAGCAUAUUAUUAAGCGGAGGAAAAGAAACUAACAAGGAUGCCCUCAGUAACGGCGAGUGAAGCGGGCAAAGCUCAACCUGAAAAUCGGGUUUCCAAACGGGAUCUCGAAUUGUGGGCUACAGACGCGUGAUCAGUGUGUGACCCGGGUAUAAGUGUUGUUGGAAAACGCUAACAUAGAGGGUGAUAUUCCCGUCCGUGACCUGGAGUUCGCCGCGUACGAUCCGUGUUCGCAGAGUCGCGUUGUUUGGGAUUGCAGCGCUAAAUGGGUGGUAAAUUUCAUCUAAAGCUAAAUAUCGACGAGAGACCGAUAGCGAACAAGUACCGUGAGGGAAAGAUGAAAAGAACUUUGAAAAGAGAGUUAAAAAGUACUUGAAAUUGCUAAGAGGGAAGCACUGGAAACCAGUUCUUACUGCAUGCAUUUUUAAUACCCGCUCCUGGAUUGCAGAAUCUGUGGUGAGCCAAAAGCCACCCUGGCGUUGCAUGAAAAUGUGGGUAUGUCGUGUAUGUAGUUAAGUCAGAAUCAAUUCGAUUCGUGAGAGAAAGCUAUUACAACGGUAGGAGCUCGGGGGGCAACUCUCAAGUUCUGCUUAGUGUAGUAGUGCUAUCAUGGUUUGGAUUGAGGUACAAUCGUAAUGCGCACCACUAGGUUAGCUGGCCUACUUCCCUGGGAGAUCAAGAGGAUUGGACAACAAAGUUGUGCGUUCUCUGAAGUUUCCUACUGGUUGGAGUGUCUAAGCAGCUGCAUUCGAGAUUCUGACAAAAUGGUUUUCAUUGACCCGUCUUGAAACACGGACCAAGGAGUCUAACAUAUAUGCGAGUAUUUGGGCCUGGAAACCCUUAUGCGCAAUGAAAGUGAAUGAGGUGUAUGCCUCUGAGGUAGGAACCGGUGUUUAUGACAUCGGGGCACUAUCGACCGAUCAGUCACUUGUGGCAGAUUUGAGUAUGAGCAUAUCUGUUGGGACCCGAAAGAUGGUGAUCUAUGCCUGAACAGGGCGAAGCCAGGGGAAACUCUGGUGGAGGCUCGUAGCGAUACUGACGUGCAAAUCGUUCGUCUGAUUUGGGUAUAGGGGCGAAAGACUAAUCGAACCAUCUAGUAGCUGGUUCCCUC
RNAcentral lists this unclassified non-coding RNA (1819 nucleotides) under uncultured fungus. Its description in RNAcentral is "sequence contains 18S rRNA gene, ITS1, 5.8S rRNA gene, ITS2, 28S rRNA gene". The stretch from base 676 to 1819 matches the Rfam family "Eukaryotic large subunit ribosomal RNA", at positions 1 to 961 of the family's 3401-position model. Lineage: Eukaryota; Fungi. The record is from RNAcentral.